RNAcentral lists this ribosomal RNA (257 nucleotides) under uncultured Gardnerella sp. Its description in RNAcentral is "partial 16S ribosomal RNA". It matches the Rfam family "Bacterial small subunit ribosomal RNA", at positions 98 to 354 of the family's 1533-position model. Lineage: Bacteria; Bacillati; Actinomycetota; Actinomycetes; Bifidobacteriales; Bifidobacteriaceae. The record is from RNAcentral.
CGGAACGGGUGAGUAAUGCGUGACCAACCUGCCCCAUGCUCCAGAAUAGCUCUUGGAAACGGGUGGUAGUGCUGGAUGCUCCAACUUGACGCAUGUCUUGUUGGGAAAGUGUUUAGUGGCAUGGGAUGGGGUCGCGUCCUAUCAGCUUGUAGGCGGGGUAAUGGCCCACCUAGGCUUCGACGGGUAGCCGGCCUGAGAGGGCGGACGGCCACAUUGGGACUGAGAUACGGCCCAGACUCCUACGGGAGGCAGCAGGG